Molecule: long non-coding RNA, 534 nt
Filed under: Mytilus galloprovincialis (Mediterranean mussel)
Lineage: Eukaryota; Metazoa; Mollusca; Bivalvia; Mytilida; Mytilidae
Source: RNAcentral
GUUUUUCAUAGAUUUGAUAUCCAGUAGUUGAAUGGUUAAAGAUAUUUACAAUGUAUUUUCUUUUAGCUGUAUGGCAACAACCUGUAUGUAUUUGCCAAAAAAUAUUGCAAAAAGAGGGCAAAGAUGGCACAUAUUUCGCAAAAAUUUGACUCAUAGUAGAAUUGCGAUCCCCUGGUGUGAUACCUUUUCUGAAACAGUUUACAACUUUACAUAUAUCUAUCAAGAGAGCAAGAGUGCAUUUCUUUCUAACCAAAGUUUGGUAAGCGUUGUGUGCCGUUUGUUAUAGUCGUUAAACGUUACAUAAGUAGAAACAAAUGAAUCGUUUGGUUAGGGGGGUUGAAAUUUUGAGACAUUUUAGACAAGUUUUUGAGUUAUGACAAGCAAGAACACGUUAAGAUAAUUGAUUUAAUGUUAAAGUUAAAAAGAAAUGCAUCGUUUGAACUAACAAACGCCGAACGCCAAACUGUAGACGCAUUUGCAGCGAGUAUAUAGUUUGUGAAAGUUUAUGCAAACUUGCAAAAGUAUGUUAGAAAC